RNAcentral lists this ribosomal RNA (1096 nucleotides) under Phoronis ijimai. RNAcentral describes it as "LSU rRNA". It matches the Rfam family "Eukaryotic large subunit ribosomal RNA", at positions 42 to 941 of the family's 3401-position model. The record is from RNAcentral. Lineage: Eukaryota; Metazoa; Phoronida; Phoronidae.
AUCAUUAAGCGGAGGAAAAGAAACUAACAAGGAUUCCCCUAGUAACGGCGAGUGAAGCGGGAUCAGCCCAGCGCCGAAUCCCCCGGCGUACAGCCGGCGGGAACUGUGGCGUUUAGGACAGCCCCUGCCGGUCCGCACGGUCGCCCAAGUCCUCCUGAUCGGGGCCUUUCCCAUAGCGGGUGUUAGGCCUGUACUGGCGACCGUCGGUCCUGCCCGGAGCGUCCUGGGAGUCGGGUUGCUUGUGAGUGCAGCCCAAAGUGGGUGGUAAACUCCAUCUAAGGCUAAAUACAACACGAGUCCGAUAGCGAACAAGUACCGUGAGGGAAAGUUGAAAAGAACUUUGAAGAGAGAGUUCAACAGUACGUGAAACCGCUCAGAGGCAAACGGGUGGAACCGCAAAGUCGACCCGCAGGAUUCAACCCGGCGGACAGGUUGCACGAGAGGCCGCGGAUCCCUCGGGACCGACUCUUCGUUCGGCGACCGUCCACGGGUGCACUUUCUGCGGGGAGAGCGCCACGACCGGUUCAGCGGUGGCGAGAAGCCCGUCGGGUGGGUAGCGUCUCGUUCGCGGGACGUGAUGACCCGGCGCGGCGCACGCCUGCCGCAGGACCGAGGAACGACACCGCACCCGCCACACGGCACGGGCCCGCGGCCUCCUCGGCGAGACCAAGCUGGGUGGACUGUCAUCAGUGCUCUCUAACCGCUCGUCGUCUAGGUCCGCGUCGGCUCCCGUAGGGUGCUAUGGGUCAGUGGCGAUUCGGUCGGCCCUCUACCCGACCCGUCUUGAAACACGGACCAAGGAGUCUAACAUGUGCGCGAGUCAUGGGGCUCUACGAAACCUAAAGGCGCAAUGAAAGUGAAGGCCGCUUCCGGUGGCUGAGGUGAGAUCCCGGCCCGCGGGUCGGGCGCAUCACCGGCCCGUCUCGUCCGCAUUGUCGGUGAGGCGGAGCAAGAGCGUACACGUUGGGACCCGAAAGAUGGUGAACUAUGCCUGAGUAGGACGAAGCCAGAGGAAACUCUGGUGGAAGUCCGUAGCGAUUCUGACGUGCAAAUCGAUCGUCAAACUUGGGUAUAGGGGCGAAAGACUAAUCGAACC